This is a long non-coding RNA of Struthio camelus australis, 2117 nucleotides long. Lineage: Eukaryota; Metazoa; Chordata; Aves; Struthioniformes; Struthionidae. The record is from Ensembl.
CUUGCGCUAGAGCUUUAAAGACCAAGGCACCCGUGCUGAUGGGAAAAAUUACCAGGUUUUCCCAUCAGGUGGAAAUGUAGUUUAGGCUUGGGAAAGUGUGUAUAUAUAUACAUAGGUAUCAAAGAGCCACAGAAAUUAACACCUACGGGAACUUAGUGUACUGAAUAAACCCCCUCCCCCCUUUCUUUUUUAAAAAGCACUUUCAUUAGCUCAGAAGUCAGAAAGUGAAGAUCGGGUUGACUGAUGGUUCUGUUUGUGUGUUGCACACCAGAUGAUGUAGUCCACGUUCUUGUGGUAAGCUUUCAGACUUUUCCUGAGAGACGCUGUCACCCUCUCUGGAUGCUCUGUUGCGCAGAACCAGCACAUCCCCUUCUCAAAGCACUCUCCCCUUGUCUUGACUGGCAAGGGGUGCUCGUGCUACCAGUCCUAGAGAUAAGCAGUCUCUGUAAAGAUCUGUUGCGCGAUAAACUUCUGAGAUGACCUCUUUUUCAGACUUAAUGCAUUGUACUGGAAGCUAAGCUUUUCAACUCCUCUUUGAAAAAACAGAUGCCUAAGACUUGGAAACGCUUUGGCAAGCACUUAGGAGCACGGCUUAAAGCUACGCUAUCAUGUGGGGGGGGGGGGGGGGGAGAAAUAUGGGUCUUCCUCUUUCUUCUGUGGAAGAGAAAGGGGACCUACUGAGGUGAUGCAAUUAGUCUUUUUCCCCUCUAUUUUAUGCUUCUGAAAGAAAACACCAGGUACGUUGCAAGUGAGUACUCACAGCAUCCAACAAAAGAUAAAAACCUUUUCUGGCAAGCAGCCUCAGCUCCUGGAGAUGUCGCUGAGAAUGGGUGUCAGCCGCGAGCCAGAGCGGCGCUGCCAAGGAAAGGGACUCCCUUCAGUAGCCAAAGUACAAAAGAAAGAAAGGAUAAUAGCGAAGCAGCUUGCCAAAGAAAGAGUCGCUGCUUUCAUUACUUCUAGUUCUCCCAAGCGGAAUCAUUUUUUUUAUCCUAACAGAACGCAGCCAAAACGAGCAGAAGAAACUAAUCCAGGCAGUGCAGGAAGGAGGGAUCAGAUGACAAGGGGAUUCCAGUACGUCUGCCCCGGAGGGGAGCAGAAGAGUCCCUGCAGCAGAUAAAAUACAGUAACUCGAUCCAGCAUCCCUGUGGGUAUGCCACAUCAGCAGGCAUGGACGUACUGGGUACUCCCAGGUUAACGUGUUUGUGGAAGGCAACUGAUGUAUAUAGCGAAAAGACCAGGUAAUAUGUCUGGUUAGAUGAAAGACCCAAGCAGUAGGCAUGGAAAUCGUAUCCCACUGACGCGGCACCAUUUGUCACUAGGUGCUGCUUUGCAGAGAGGUCUCUGUGUGUGUGUGUGUGUGUGUGUGUGUGUGUUAUGUAUAUAUAUAUUUUUUUUUUAAAUUGCCAGAAUCCAAGUAUUUUCCUUUGGGAGUCUUUUACAGAUCAAGGCCUCUAUGUAACUGCGUCCUCUCCCAAUGGCGGAACGUUGUUGCUCUUAGCUUUCAAAGACUCCAAGUCCUCUGGUUUGGCCUCAACCUUCUCUUCAAUGAAUUAACAUCGUUGUUACCCCCGAGCAUGCACCCAGUGCAGCCUCAGCGUUAGCUCUGUGAAGCCUCCUUCUUUCUCAGUUGUGAGAGAUGUGCUCUCUUUCUUACAGGCUCUGCAAAAGGAAUGAAGGUAGGUUUACAGAUAGGCAGAAAAGGCAUCUAAUUCUUGGAGGUGAUGGUAUGCCUCAGGUACAAGCUGUCAAACAGAAGCCAGUCCUGACUUUGGCCUUAUUUUUAAAUGGUCGGAAGCCAGACGGUGGCGGUCUGGGUGUUUUAGUGACCUUGCAAACGUGCGCUGCAGCUGCGGGCCUUUGUAUGAUAGCGCUGGUGCCGUGCAGUACAGGAACACUUAACCCUAAAGAAGCUGCCUAACAGGCAGCUGCUAACUUGGCAUAAAUGGAAGUUCAUUGCUUUCCCUGAAAGGGAGACAUUAGUAACUGAUAUCAGAGGACCAAUUCAGGAACAAGGCAUGCUCUGUUAACUGCAAUUUUUCAUCGGCCGGUCUGCACGGGCAGCAAAUUCUAUUUUUCUGUGGGUGUGAUGUGGAAUAUCUCCAGUGUCCUUGAGGUCA